Molecule: ribosomal RNA, 465 nt
Filed under: uncultured bacterium
Lineage: Bacteria
Description: partial 16S ribosomal RNA
Rfam family: Bacterial small subunit ribosomal RNA
Source: RNAcentral
CCUACGGGAGGCAGCAGUAGGGAAUCUUCCACAAUGGGCGAAAGCCUGAUGGAGCAACGCCGCGUGGGUGAAGAAGGUCUUCGGAUCGUAAAACCCUGUUGUUAGAGAAGAAAGUGCGUGAGAGUAACUGUUCACGUUUCGACGGUAUCUAACCAGAAAGCCACGGCUAACUACGUGCCAGCAGCCGCGGUAAUACGUAGGUGGCAAGCGUUAUCCGGAUUUAUUUGGCGUAGAGGGAACGCAGGCGGUCUUUUAAGUCUGAUGUGAAAGCCUUCGGCUUAACCGGAGUAGUGCAUUGGAAACUGGGAGACUUGAGUGCAGAAGAGGAGAGUGGAACUCCAUGUGUAGCGGUGAAAUGCGUAGAUAUAUGGAAGAACACCAGUGGCGAAAGCGGCUCUCUGGUCUGUAACUGACGCUGAGGUUCGAAAGCGUGGGUAGCAAACAGGAUUAGAUACCCGUGUAGUC